GACAGAUGUGAAGAUCUUAUGUAUUCUGAAAAAGGAACGAAGAAAAUCUGUCAACUGUAGCGUCUGUAAAUCUGCAAUAACUGCGACCAAUGGGAUUUUCACGGUUUGUUUUUUUUUUCAACCAAUCACGUCUCCUGGUCUUCCUGCUCGCUCACGGCCCCGUGCGUGCACGAGCGUACAUUAAAAAGCGCGUCACCGUUGUUAGAGGAAGCCCGGAAGUAGACAACAGAAUGGCGGAGAAAGUACCUAUUCCACGUUUACUGGUAACGUCUUGUCCUGCUAAGAAGGGCAAGAAAAGAAAGACGUUUUUAGAAAAAGCUGCAAAAAAGAGGUCUUUGGAUUUAGCGAGAGGAAAGACAAAAAUCUGCAUCGGAACAUCUUUUGAACGAUGGCGACAAUUGAAGGAGGACAAGGGCCUGAAAACUGAUGCUAUGGUUGCUGAAUUACUUUUGGACAGGUAAGGUUGUUUUGUUGCCUGGGUGAUUGUGUUAUCUUUUAAAAUAGUGGAAGCAAUUCAAGCUAUUUGUCAUAUUAGCCAGAUGUUAAUGUUAGCGAUACAUGUCGCAAAGUAUUUCUGUUGUUGGAUUAGCCCGAUGCUACUGUUGAUUCUCUGUUAGUGCGAGCUAGUUUAGCAGCUACAGUGUGUACAGUAUACAUGUGUGCGUGUUUGAGCGUGUGUGUUGUUUGCUUUCAGCAGGGCGGUCAACAGCUGUAAUGUAGGAUAUUUGUGAUUCUUUUUAGCUAUAACUGUGCUCCGUCGACUUCAACGCCGUGGAAGGACUCACUUGUGAGACUACCUAACCCCGCUGUGUCAACUGUUGCUCCCGAGUCACUGUCUGAGAGAGAUGAUAAUUUCUCCGUUGCUGGAGUCCAGGAGUUAGACAUUAGUGGUCCCGAAGAGACAGCUCUUCAGCAAUUGGAUUCAAGUAUGCCGUCCCAGGACCUAAACGUUGAGGUUGGAGCUGAUGAAUUUCAUGACAUUCGGAACUUAAUUAUUGACUGGGAUGAUAGCACCUGGUACCCUGAUAAAGAGUCAGAGUCUUUGUCAUCAUCAGAAGAAGAUGUAACCAGGGAGGUCGAUUCUGACGAUGACAGUGAAGAAUCAACCUAUAAGCCUCGUAUUUGUGUGAGGACUGGUGGUGCUCUCAACAGUAAAAUUUGCUUGGAUGCUCUUCCUACAAUCAGCAUGGAAGACACAGUGCAUGAUGUUUCAGCCAAUAUCCCAGAUCCUAUCGACACAGACCUUCACACAUUUCCAGAGUCAUGUAAAGUUAUGGUGGAGGAUGAUAUUAUUGGUCAUCCUGCUUCUAUCACAUAUCAUGACAGCCUGAAGCAGCUUGCUGAGUAUCUCUGUCUACCUGUAAACACGUGUCCUGGUAAAGACUCAAAGACCAAGCAAAAGUGCAUGGAAACUGGCCCAUUUGAAAUCAAUAUAAAGUCCAGGGGAACAGCUGCUGUAAUUGAAUGGAAAUGUCCUUUUGGUCAUACAGUGUGGAAAUGGUGUUCCCAGCCCACUUUGAAAUAUGGGAUGCUAGUUGGAGACUUCAUGCUGUCUACUAAUAUACUACUAUCAGGCAAC
Long non-coding RNA from Gouania willdenowi (blunt-snouted clingfish), 1579 nucleotides. Lineage: Eukaryota; Metazoa; Chordata; Actinopteri; Blenniiformes; Gobiesocidae. The record is from Ensembl.